UAAGAGCGCACGGAGGAUGCCUAGGCACCAGGAGCCGAAGAAGGACGCGGCGAACAGCGAAAUGCCUCGGGGAGCCGUAAGCAGGCGUUGAUCCGGGGAUGUCCGAAUGGGGAAACCCGGCUGGGGUCAUGCCCAGUCACCCGCCACUGAAUCCAUAGGUGGCGCGGAGGCAGACCAGGGGAACUGAAACAUCUAAGUACCCUGAGGAAGAGAAAACAACAGUGAUUCCGUCAGUAGCGGCGAGCGAACGCGGAUUAGCCCAAACCAGAGGGCUUGCCCUCUGGGGUUGUAGGACGUCUCACACGGAGUUACAAAAGGGUUGGGUAGGCGAAGCGGUCUGGAAAGGCCGGCCAAAGAAGGUAAAAGCCCUGUAACCGAAAGUCAAUCCCCUCCGAGACGGAUCCUGAGUACGGCGGGACACGUGAAACCCCGUCGGAAUCCGGCAGGACCAUCUGCCAAGGCUAAAUACUCCCUGGUGACCGAUAGUGAAGCAGUACCGUGAGGGAAAGGUGAAAAGCACCGCGGGAGCGGAGUGAAAGAGAACCUGAAACCGUGCGCUUACAACAAGUCAGAGCCCGAUCUAGGGGUGAUGGCGUGCCUUUUGUAGAAUGAACCGGCGAGUUACGAUGACGUGCAAGGUUAAGGUGAAGAGCCGGAGCCGCAGCGAAAGCGAGUCUGAAUAGGGCGCAUAAGUACGUCAUGGUAGACCCGAAACCGUGUGAUCUACCCCUGUCCAGGGUGAAGGUGCGGUAACACGCACUGGAGGCCCGAACCCACGCAUGUUGAAAAAUGCGGGGAUGAGGUGGGGGUAGCGGAGAAAUUCCAAUCGAACACGGAAAUAGCUGGUUCUCCCCGAAAUAGCUUUAGGGCUAGCCUCGGAUGGUGUGUCGUGGAGGUAGAGCACUGAUUGGAUGCGGGGCCCGCGAGGGUUACCAAGUUCAGUCAAACUCCGAAUGCCAUCGACAUCAAUCCGGGAGUCAGACCGUGAGUGCUAAGAUCCAUGGUCAAGAGGGAAACAGCCCAGACCAUCAGCUAAGGUCCCCAAGUGUGUGUUAAGUGGGAAAGGAUGUGGCGUUGCACAGACAACCAGGAUGUUGGCUUAGAAGCAGCCAUCAUUGAAAGAGUGCGUAAUAGCUCACUGGUCGAGUGACGCUGCGCCGAAAAUGUAACGGGGCUAAACACACCACCGAAGCUAUGG
Molecule: ribosomal RNA, 1198 nt
Filed under: Paenibacillus sabuli
Lineage: Bacteria; Bacillati; Bacillota; Bacilli; Caryophanales; Paenibacillaceae
Description: Bacterial large subunit ribosomal RNA
Rfam family: Bacterial large subunit ribosomal RNA
Source: Rfam by way of RNAcentral